UGGGGAGUCGUCUAGCGGCAGGACAGCAGACUCUGGAUCUGCUUGCCGAGGUUCGAAUCCUCGCUCCCCAGCCA
Molecule: transfer RNA, 74 nt
Filed under: Deltaproteobacteria bacterium
Lineage: Bacteria; Pseudomonadati; Myxococcota; Myxococcia
Description: tRNA-Gln
Rfam family: tRNA
About the family: Transfer RNA (tRNA) molecules are approximately 80 nucleotides in length. Their secondary structure includes four short double-helical elements and three loops (D, anti-codon, and T loops). Further hydrogen bonds mediate the characteristic L-shaped molecular structure. tRNAs have two regions of fundamental functional importance: the anti-codon, which is responsible for specific mRNA codon recognition, and the 3' end, to which the tRNAs corresponding amino acid is attached (by aminoacyl-tRNA synthetases). tRNAs cope with the degeneracy of the genetic code in two manners: having more than one tRNA (with a specific anti-codon) for a particular amino acid; and 'wobble' base-pairing, i.e. permitting non-standard base-pairing at the 3rd anti-codon position.
Source: RNAcentral